Molecule: ribosomal RNA, 440 nt
Filed under: uncultured bacterium
Lineage: Bacteria
Description: partial 16S ribosomal RNA
Rfam family: Bacterial small subunit ribosomal RNA
Source: RNAcentral
CCUACGGGCGGCAGCAGUGGGGAAUAUUGCACAAUGGGGGAAACCCUGAUGCAGCGACGCCGCGUGAGUGAAGAAGUAUUUCUGUACGUAAAGCUCUAUCAGCAGGGAAGAAAAUGACGGUACCUGACUAAGAAGCCCCGGCGAACUACGUGCCAGCAGCCGCGGUAAUACGUAGGGGGCAAGCGGUAUUCGGAUUUCCGGGGUUUAAAGGGGGCGUAGACGGCAGCGCAAGUCUGGAGGGAAAUCCCAUGGCUUAACCAUGGAACUGCUUUGGAAACUGUGCAGCUAGAGUGCAGGAGAGGGAAGCGGAAUGCCUAGUGUAGCGGUGAAAUGCGUAGAUAUUAGGAGGAACACCAGUGGCGAAGGCGGCUUACUGGACUGUAACUGACGUUGAGGCUCGAAAGCGUGGGGAGCAAACAGGAUUAGAUACCCCAGUAGUC